This 620-nucleotide ribosomal RNA is filed under the name Chryseobacterium sp. Its description in RNAcentral is "bacterial SSU rRNA". It matches the Rfam family "Bacterial small subunit ribosomal RNA", at positions 120 to 739 of the family's 1533-position model. Lineage: Bacteria; Pseudomonadati; Bacteroidota; Flavobacteriia; Flavobacteriales; Weeksellaceae. The record is from RNAcentral.
UGCAACCUGCCUUUAUCAGGGGGAUAGCCUUUCGAAAGGAAGAUUAAUACCCCAUAAUAUAUUGAGUGGCAUCACUUAAUAUUGAAAACUCCGGUGGAUAGAGAUGGGCACGCGCAAGAUUAGAUAGUUGGUGAGGUAACGGCUCACCAAGUCAAUGAUCUUUAGGGGGCCUGAGAGGGUGAUCCCCCACACUGGUACUGAGACACGGACCAGACUCCUACGGGAGGCAGCAGUGAGGAAUAUUGGACAAUGGGUUAGCGCCUGAUCCAGCCAUCCCGCGUGAAGGACGACGGCCCUAUGGGUUGUAAACUUCUUUUGUAUAGGGAUAAACCUUUCCACGUGUGGAAAGCUGAAGGUACUAUACGAAUAAGCACCGGCUAACUCCGUGCCAGCAGCCGCGGUAAUACGGAGGGUGCAAGCGUUAUCCGGAUUUAUUGGGUUUAAAGGGUCCGUAGGCGGAUCUGUAAGUCAGUGGUGAAAUCUCACAGCUUAACUGUGAAACUGCCAUUGAUACUGCAGGUCUUGAGUAAGGUAGAAGUGGCUGGAAUAAGUAGUGUAGCGGUGAAAUGCAUAGAUAUUACUUAGAACACCAAUUGCGAAGGCAGGUCACUAUGUCUUAA